This is a long non-coding RNA of Neogale vison (American mink), 1871 nucleotides long. RefSeq lists it as uncharacterized. The transcript is spliced from 10 exons. Lineage: Eukaryota; Metazoa; Chordata; Mammalia; Carnivora; Mustelidae. The record is from RefSeq and is a predicted model, not a curated record.
AAACUGCCAAAUUAGCAGAUAUCGCUGAGCACCGGUGAUGUUCCAGGCACUGAUGAAGAGAUGUGUGUGACGUGGUAUGGAAAGUGAUGAACGUUCAUUUGAGGCUAUAGAAAGACACAGGUCAUCUGAAAGCAGAACUGCUAUAGAGAUACCAUGUCUCACUACUAAAGGACCUGAAAUCUAUGCCCAAUUGAGGGGCACAAGGGAAACCAACAGCCACCUCAGUCCCCUUAUGAAGAUGCAGGAACCGGUCUGGUGAAAGAACAUCACUUGUUCAAGGCCAUGGAGAUGGCCAGUCUAUGAUAUGAAGGAAGAUAUAUCAGAAAACUGACCUAUACAGUUGAACAAAUCCUGUUCCCUCCAAAGGUAAUUUGUUGCUAGAGCUAGAGGAAAGUUGAAAACAUGGCUUUAAAAAGAAAACAACAUAUGAAAUCAUGCACCUUCAGUGGUUACAGGGAAGUGUUCCAGGCCUGAACCAUGUGUGUUACGGCUUUUAUGAACAAUGCAUCCAGUCUAUCAGAAGAGGGCUGAUGUCACCAGACAAGCUAACUUUUGAAAUAGUCAACGAACUGCAUGUGAAAUGGACAAGGUGAAGAAACUGAAGCUUAGGAGCCAAGAUUGAAUUCAAAGCCCAAUGCAGGCCUUCCCCUGGAAGACAAUGGGGUUCGCUCUGCUUCUCGCUAUUCCUCUGUUGCUUUCCUGAGGACUACGAUACUACGCCUUCGGUUCAGUGAUGUCUCAGAAAGCUCUUGGAGGGAAUUGCAUUCUAUCCACGAGAGUGGAGCUGAAACAGCUGAGGCCUGGAGUUACUCCUAGUGGGAACAUUCCAGACACAGGGACACAUGUGAAAAUGGGAAUCCAAAGGAAUGUGGGGAGCUGGAGAAACUAAAGGAAUGCUGACAUCCAUGGAGUGUCUGUUCAACUGGGUGGAAGGCAACAGGGGGCACUGGAGAAAGAAAUUAGCAGAGAAUUUUCAGAAUUUGUUCUAUGGCGUGAAGAGUUGAACUGAGACACAUUAAAAAAAGAAUCUUAUUUCCAGAACAACUCCCCAACGGUCUUCCUUCCCUGUAUUCAGCUACAGGGUGACAAGGUGGACUGCGGGACAAGACCACUCUGGCUUGUCCAUACUCUGUUCUACUCCUAAGUCACUUUUUAUCCAAAGCCAUCAAGAUAAAAUUAUUUUUUGGAAGUACAGACUGCACAGAGUUUACAAACCAGAGCUAGGCCAAUGCAGAGAGGUACAGAAAGGCGGCGGGCCCAACACAUAGCAUAAAAGGCCUGCACUCCAAAUUUUUCACCAAAAGGUUCAUUUCCAUUGAGAGAGAGAGAGAGAGGGAGAGAGAGAGAAUGAGUAAGGCACAAAUGCCUUCUGAAUUAAUCACCAAGGAGAAACUGUUCAAGCUUCGCCGCAGCAGGCUUUACACUUCACAGGAAUCUAGACAAUCAGAAAAGCCCUGGAUAUAGCAGAUGCCCCCUCCUCCAACAAGCGUACUGCAAUUACUGAUGAGAGAGGGGCCCAGGCUGCGGGUCAGCCCUGCCAUUCAUCUGCACAAGUCACGUUUGGUCUGGAUCCUGCUUGCUCCUUUCCUCCGGCCCCCUUCAGCAAUACAAAUAUAUUCCCGGGCUGCGCUCUUCCCGAAAUUUCAACCUUGAUGCACUGCACCCGGCAGUGGACCCCCCAAGAGUCUGGAAGGGGGUUUGCGGUCCCAUUAUUCUCUGUCUGUGGGACAUGAUAAGUAGAAGGGCAUAUUCAUCAGCCUCGCCGUGUUAGGCCUCCUUCCCACGGACGUCUGAUACCUCUUAACCUGCAUGACUCAGGGGCUCCCACGUUACUUAAAGCAAUCUUGACCCAGGUUGUAUUUUCGACCUGU